RNAcentral lists this ribosomal RNA (572 nucleotides) under Dictyosphaeria cavernosa. RNAcentral's name for it is "eukaryotic LSU rRNA". It matches the Rfam family "Eukaryotic large subunit ribosomal RNA", at positions 44 to 648 of the family's 3401-position model. The record is from RNAcentral. Lineage: Eukaryota; Viridiplantae; Chlorophyta; Ulvophyceae; Cladophorales; Siphonocladaceae.
CAAUAAGCGGAGGAAAAGAAACCAACCGGGAUUCCCCCAGUAACGGCGAGCGAAAAGGGAUUAGCCCAGUGUGAAAAUCACCAGCCGUUUUGUGCUGGUGAAUUGUAGUCUGCAGUGGCAGCUCCUGGGUGGCGCGCGGCCGAAGCAUCUUGGAACAGAUCGCCUCAGAGGGUGAGAGUCCCGUAGGCCAAGCAAAGCCCUGCACGGAGCGCUCACGGAGAGUCGGGUUGUUUGGGAAUGCAGCCCCAAUCGGGUGGUAAACCCCAUCUAAGGCUAAAUACCGGUGGGAGACCGAUAGCAAAAAAGUACCUCGAGGGAACGAUGAAAAGACCGCUGGCAAGCGAGUGAAAGAGUGCAUGAAAUUGUACAGUGGGAAGGGAUGGCCUGGCGUGAUGCGUCGGGGUAUACCCGGCUCGUGGAGCCGGUGAAUACAUCCGUGCGCUUGCAGGUGCCGGCACGCGUGGCCGCAGAUCUCACCAUGUGUGGUGGUAUUCGGGCGCGCGUGCUGAGGACGUGAUUGCUGCUUCUUAAACAUGCAGUGACAUAGCACCCGCCGAAGCUUGUCCAUCUGC